CUAUGACUUAAGGUCAUGGCGGAAGGAG
This 28-nucleotide non-coding RNA is filed under the name unclassified sequences. RNAcentral describes it as "L31-Firmicutes ribosomal protein leader". It matches the Rfam family "L31-Firmicutes ribosomal protein leader". The record is from RNAcentral.